Long non-coding RNA from Panicum virgatum (switchgrass), 615 nucleotides. RefSeq lists it as uncharacterized. The record is from RefSeq and is a predicted model, not a curated record. The transcript has 2 exons. Lineage: Eukaryota; Viridiplantae; Streptophyta; Magnoliopsida; Poales; Poaceae.
GGACACAGGCCGGGCGCGGCAACGCUCUCAGCGCCUCGCUCGCAUAAAGCAGCUCGUCAGUCCUCUCCUCCCCGCUUCUCUCCUCGCCGCUCCCAUGGCGGCCGCCCCCUCGAGCUCGAGGGACCCGCCCCCGCGCCCUCAUAUCUCCAUCUUCGCAAGGGCGUCCCGCCGGCGCCCACCUAUCACGCGCUCCCCGAGGGCGUCCCGGCCAAUGUAAGGUGCUGGAGGGCGCCAACGGCAGACAGGGUGGAGCCAGGCAUUCUUCUCUACUACUAACGACGAGAGGAGGGGAGGGGAUAUACAUACGGUCGGACGAGGAGGAGGAGGAGGCGUAUUGUACGGAUCUAUGGCCGUUCUCGGCCCCGCUCGCCGUGUUUUGGGUGAUUCUUGUAAGCUUCUUCUUUUUGCUUUUUUUAUGUUCUAUUGUAAUUUGACGAUGGGAGAGAAAGGUGGGAGGUUGGAUGCUAAUUUGGUGAGUUCUUGUAUGGUCAAAUGUGGUUAGAUUAUAAACCUUGUUUCAGGAUAGGCCCUCGUUGAUUGCCAAGUUUCUUACCAAUUUUGUAAUCCCCACUUUGCACGGAAACCUUGAUUAAUGAAAAUGGUUAACUUGGUGAA